UAUUUCCGUUCCUAAGGGAGAACUUCCGGGAGCGACAGAAGUAAAGGUUACCCAGCUAGAAACUGAGUCAGGAUCCUUCUGCGUUAUUACCGGUUUCCUGGAUUCUGGGGAAGGCGCCAUCGUGGAAGAACCGUUCCCGGACAGGCUGCCCUUGAACUUGUAACCCAGGCUGGCUUUGAACUUAUGGUGAUCCUCCUGCCUCAGGCUCCUGAGUGCUGGGGUUACAGGAGUGAGCCACCACACCUGGCUCCACAAAUGUCUUCAUACAUCAGUAAAAUAAGCGAUGCAUUUUCCCAAGCAAAAUAGUUUAUUUCAAUUGUUAAUUUGAGGCAAAUUUUGACAUGCAUGAGAAAUUGUAUGAGAACAGAUAAAAUUUUGGUCAAACAAAAUGAAGGGAUGCAUGCUAAAAGCAAAAUAUUUUAUAUCUACAGUAAUUAUAUAAUAUUAGCACUCAAGUGUGGCAAAUACAUCCUAAUUUGAACUGAUUUAUCUAAAUAGUACAUAUUUUAAUAAUUGUUAUUAGGCAAUAUGUAUAUACUUGUGUGAAAAUCAAAAUAUAUGUAUAUGUAUAAGCUUAGUAUAUGUGACAGUUUCGGUAUUUCAGAUAUUUACAAAAUGAUAGAAUAUUUAACCAAUCAUACAUCAAACAAUUCAGAAAAUAAGUGAAAACAAGAACAAUAUAUUUCUGGUUUUCUAUAGCAAGGGAUAUGGCCAUUAUCUUCUAUGUUUGGCAGGGAUGCAAUAAUCUUCAGGGAAGUUGGAAAACUGUAGCAGAAAAAAUGGAAGGCUUUGGGGGCACCCUGGUAGUAUGUUUUUGGCAUGGUGAAGCUAGUCCUAGCCCAGCUAGAGGUGGAACAUUUUACAUGACUGACCAGGGGAGCAUAUUUGGUCCCCUCCACUUGGUCCUGAGUUAGAAACAGGGGCCACAAUGAAGUGUUGGCAGUCCUCACUGUUUGAGCCUGGUUACUGUAGAAUUUGUGGUUUGGCUUCAGUGGCUUCUUACUGCAUAAGCUGUUGUUAUUUAUGGUCUGUUGAUUCUCGGUUUCUGUGUUGUUUCUUACAGUAGAUACAAAAAUAAUUGUACAUAGAAAAUUAAUAUAUUUAAUGUGAUUGAUAAAUAUAACAUUUUCAAUAAAUAGUAAGCUUUUCUGUUUAUUAUGAUACCAAAUUACUGAGAAAAAAAAUGAUACUGGGUUUGGGGAAAUUAAAGUGGUGUCUUUAAGCAAAUUUUAAAUUUUUCCUACGAAUUAUAAAUAGUAAUUUUCCUUCUAGGGUUAUCGUCAACAAAGCUACUUACAAAUAUGCAUAAAAUUUUGGUUAAUAAAUGGUGAAACGUCUGUCUUUUGUUUUGGGGAUUUUUGUUUGUUUUUUUGAGACAGAAUCUUGCUUUGCAG
Molecule: long non-coding RNA, 1394 nt
Filed under: Heterocephalus glaber (naked mole-rat)
Lineage: Eukaryota; Metazoa; Chordata; Mammalia; Rodentia; Bathyergidae
Description: lncRNA (ENSHGLG00000049954.1)
Source: RNAcentral